UACGGAGGAUGCGAGCGUUAUCCGGAUUUAUUGGGUUUAAAGGGUGCGUAGGCGGUCCGUUAAGUCAGCGGUAAAAUUGCGGGGCUCAACCCCGUCGAGCCGUUGAAACUGGCAGACUUGAGUUGGCGAGAAGUACGCGGAAUGCGCGGUGUAGCGGUGAAAUGCAUAGAUAUCGCGCAGAACUCCGAUUGCGAGGGCAGCGUACCGGCGCCAGACUGACGCUGAGGCACGAAAGCGUGGGGAUCGAACAGG
Molecule: ribosomal RNA, 252 nt
Filed under: uncultured bacterium
Lineage: Bacteria
Description: partial 16S ribosomal RNA
Rfam family: Bacterial small subunit ribosomal RNA
Source: RNAcentral